This 842-nucleotide ribosomal RNA is filed under the name Paraphoma salicis. RNAcentral describes it as "partial large subunit ribosomal RNA". It matches the Rfam family "Eukaryotic large subunit ribosomal RNA", at positions 76 to 937 of the family's 3401-position model. Lineage: Eukaryota; Fungi; Ascomycota; Dothideomycetes; Pleosporales; Phaeosphaeriaceae. The record is from RNAcentral.
UGCCCUAGUAACGGCGAGUGAAGCGGCAACAGCUCAAAUUUGAAAUCUGGCUCUUUCAGGGUCCGAGUUGUAAUUUGCAGAGGGCGCUUUGGUGUUGGCAGCGGUCCAAGUUCCUUGGAACAGGACGUCACAGAGGGUGAGAAUCCCGUACGUGGUCGCUAGCCUUCGCCGUGUAAAGCCCCUUCGACGAGUCGAGUUGUUUGGGAAUGCAGCUCUAAAUGGGAGGUAAAUUUCUUCUAAAGCUAAAUACUGGCCAGAGACCGAUAGCGCACAAGUAGAGUGAUCGAAAGAUGAAAAGCACUUUGGAAAGAGAGUCAAAUAGCACGUGAAAUUGUUGAAAGGGAAGCGCUUGCAGCCAGACUUGCCUGUAGUUGCUUAUCCGGACUUUUGUCCGGUGCACUCUUCUGCGGGCAGGCCAGCAUCAGUUUGGGCGGUUGGAUAAAGGUCUCUGUCAUGUACCUCUCUUCGGGGAGAACUUAUAGGGGAGGCGACAUGCAACCAGCCUGGACUGAGGUCCGCGCAUCUGCUAGGAUGCUGGCGUAAUGGCUGUAAGCGGCCCGUCUUGAAACACGGACCAAGGAGUCUAACAUCUAUGCGAGUGUUUGGGUGUCAAGCCCAAGCGCGUAAUGAAAGUGAACGGAGGUGGGAACCCUUUGGGUGCACCAUCGACCGAUCCUGAUGUCUUCGGAUGGAUUUGAGUAAGAGCAUGGCUGUUGGGACCCGAAAGAUGGUGAACUAUGCUUGAAUAGGGUGAAGCCAGAGGAAACUCUGGUGGAGGCUCGCAGCGGUUCUGACGUGCAAAUCGAUCGUCAAAUUUGGGCAUAGGGGCGAAAGACUAAUCG